UGCAGUCGACGAUGAACCUCACUUGUGGGGGGAUUAGUGGCGAACGGGUGAGUAACACGUGAGUAACCUGCCCUUAACUCUGGGAUAAGCCUGGGAAACUGGGUCUAAUACCGGAUAUGACUCCUCAUCGCAUGGUGGGGGGUGGAAAGCUUUUUGUGGUUUUGGAUGGACUCGCGGCCUAUCAGCUUGUUGGUGAGGUAAUGGCUCACCAAGGCGACGACGGGUAGCCGGCCUGAGAGGGUGACCGGCCACACUGGGACUGAGACACGGCCCAGACUCCUACGGGAGGCAGCAGUGGGGAAUAUUGCACAAUGGGCGAAAGCCUGAUGCAGCGACGCCGCGUGAGGGAUGACGGCCUUCGGGUUGUAAACCUCUUUCAGUAGGGAAGAAGCGAAAGUGACGGUACCUGCAGAAGAAGCGCCGGCUAACUACGUGCCAGCAGCCGCGGUAAUACGUAGGGCGCAAGCGUUAUCCGGAAUUAUUGGGCGUAAAGAGCUCGUAGGCGGUUUGUCGCGUCUGCCGUGAAAGUCCGGGGCUCAACUCCGGAUCUGCGGUGGGUACGGGCAGACUAGAGUGAUGUAGGGGAGACUGGAAUUCCUGGUGUAGCGGUGAAAUGCGCAGAUAUCAGGAGGAACACCGAUGGCGAAGGCAGGUCUCUGGGCAUUAACUGACGCUGAGGAGCGAAAGCAUGGGGAGCGAACAGGAUUAGAUACCCUGGUAGUCCAUGCCGUAAACGUUGGGCACUAGGUGU
This 751-nucleotide ribosomal RNA is filed under the name Arthrobacter ramosus. RNAcentral's name for it is "bacterial SSU rRNA". It matches the Rfam family "Bacterial small subunit ribosomal RNA", at positions 56 to 823 of the family's 1533-position model. Lineage: Bacteria; Bacillati; Actinomycetota; Actinomycetes; Micrococcales; Micrococcaceae. The record is from RNAcentral.